ACAGACAAAACGCUUACAGUUAUUUUCAAGUAACUGGAGACAUUUUUGGAAGUGGAACUACAGAAACCGGUCUAUGAUCAGAGAACCUCGACUCUCCACGAACGUAAGAGAGCUGGUUGAGGCCUCUUCCAUACCAUAAGAUACGAUCGCACCUGCGAAUUCAGACACUGCAAUCAGCUUCACAUGUCAGGUGUUCGACGUUUCUCUUUAAGGUUCAUGUCAUCUCCAGUGUAGCGGUCUGAGUUGUUGGAGUACUU
Molecule: non-coding RNA, 257 nt
Organism: Musa acuminata subsp. malaccensis (wild Malaysian banana)
Lineage: Eukaryota; Viridiplantae; Streptophyta; Magnoliopsida; Zingiberales; Musaceae
Source: RefSeq, a predicted model, not a curated record